AAACUUUCAACAAUGGAUCUCUUGGCUCUGGCAUCGAUGAAGAACGCAGCGAAAUGCGAUAAGUAAUGUGAAUUGCAGAAUUCAGUGAAUCAUCGAAUCUUUGAACGCACAUUGCGCCCUCUGGUAUUCCGGGGGGCAUGCCUGUUCGAGCGU
Molecule: ribosomal RNA, 153 nt
Filed under: Myriotrema urceolare
Lineage: Eukaryota; Fungi; Ascomycota; Lecanoromycetes; Ostropales; Graphidaceae
Description: 5.8S ribosomal RNA
Rfam family: 5.8S ribosomal RNA
About the family: 5.8S ribosomal RNA (5.8S rRNA) is a component of the large subunit of the eukaryotic ribosome.
Source: RNAcentral